Molecule: ribosomal RNA, 464 nt
Filed under: uncultured bacterium
Lineage: Bacteria
Description: partial 16S ribosomal RNA
Rfam family: Bacterial small subunit ribosomal RNA
Source: RNAcentral
GAUGAACGCUGGCGGCGUGCUUAACACAUGCAAGUCGAACGAUGAAGCCCAGCUUGCUGGGUGGAUUAGUGGCGAACGGGUGAGUAACACGUGAGUAACCUGCCCUUAACUUUGGGAUAAGCCUGGGAAACUGGGUCUAAUACCGGAUAGGAGCGCCUACCGCAAGGAGGGGGUUGGAAAGGUUUAUCGGUUUUGGAUGGGCUCGCGGCCGAUCAGCUUGGUGGAGAGGUAGAGGCUCACCAAGGCGGCGACGCGUAGCUGGUCUGAGAGGGUGACCGGCCACGCUGGGACUGAGACACGGCCGAGAAACCUGCGGGAGGCAGCAGUGGGUGAGGUUCCGCAAUGGGCGGAAGCCUGACGGAGCAAUACCGCGUGAGGGGAGAAGGCGCUUGUGUUGUAAACCGCUUCUCUUAGGGAAGAACAAAAUGACGGUACCUAAGGAAACAGCAUCGGCUAACUCCGUG